AUGUUGGUGAAAAUAAAAUUUUUCAACCAGGCAACUGAGGGGCGACUAUUGCUAGUUGAAAACUUUUCCCAAUACCCCGCCGGGACGUCGUGCAAUACCGACGGCCAUGGCAAUUUUUGGCAAGCCCCUCGGGGC
Ixodes scapularis (black-legged tick) is the source of this 135-nucleotide small nuclear RNA. RefSeq annotates it as U4 spliceosomal RNA. The record is from RefSeq and is a predicted model, not a curated record. Lineage: Eukaryota; Metazoa; Arthropoda; Arachnida; Ixodida; Ixodidae. The transcript has a single exon.